UAAAUUGUAUUUAUUUCAAUUACAAAGUUCGUCAUGAAGAGCAUAAUUUUCGAAUCUUUGGGAUUAGAAAUGGGUUCGCUGUGUUAUUUAUACCAUUUUCAGAAAAUCCGUUAGUUUGUGUCUGAGAUUAAAUCGAAAUUAGAUGAUGUGCUUUGGGCCAUGUUUUGGUCAGGACUUUAGUAAGGCAUUUAAUGAAGAGAAUCCAGCAUAUGUUGCUGGGUAUAGCGCGCUAACAUAAUCUGGUGUUGAAAUUAUUUUCUCCGCGACAAACUUUGAUAUGUUAUUUGUUUUACUCUGAAGAUGGGCAUAAACUAUGGUGAUUUGUUUUAAAUUGUUUUCAUUCAAUAUCCCAUUUUACCACUCUCGGAUUCAUUAGUAAUUUUCUUAGAAUAUAAUAAAGGUAGCCUUUAUAUAUGUACUGUUUUUAUGAAACAAUUGCAGUUGUGGAUGUGUAAAUAGCUUGAUGAAGCUAUCCAGAGUAUGUUCAUAGGAAAGGCAGCUUCCAGGAUCCAAAAUUCAAUAUUGAACAAGUCGCAAAUGGAGAUAAUUAUUUCACGGUGAUUUCGACUCUCACCAUUAAAUUUAUUAAGAUAAUUGCUUUAAUUAUUUUAUUAAUUGUCUGUUUAUAAAGGUCUCAUUACCAAAAUGGUUGUGCACAUAUAUAUUCACUUCUGAUUUUCACAACGUCAUAUAUUUUUGUUUUGUAGGAUUUCAUGGCUGAUAAUGGAUGGCAUGAUCUCUCCUGCAAAGACCCUACCAAGAGAAGUAGAUUGAGAUUUGGAAACAUACCAUAUUUAAUAGAAGUUGAUAACGAUCUCAAUGCACAACUCUCAAGUAACAAGGUCAACAGAGUGGUUAAAAAGGAGGAAAUUGCCUGAGUUUCUGCAUCUAUGAGAGAAUUGAAAAAGAUACAUUUCGUUAAAUAUCAAAUUUUCUAUUUUAUUUCUAGCCACAAAUCCUUUAACGAUACUUGGACUUGUCCAAAGUUGCCCGUUUCACAUGGUGUCGGCAAUAGUUAGUGACGUCUUUUUU
Molecule: long non-coding RNA, 1032 nt
Organism: Lycium ferocissimum
Lineage: Eukaryota; Viridiplantae; Streptophyta; Magnoliopsida; Solanales; Solanaceae
Exons: 2
Source: RefSeq, a predicted model, not a curated record